UUGUGAACACUUAUCCGCUGGAUAGCGAUUUAUCCGGUGAAAAGUGUUAUUCAACCUUCGAACAACCGGGGCCAGAUGUUAUUUUAGACCGCGGCUCAUGAUAAUGUGCUAUAGUUUCGUUUUUUUUUUUUUAUUAUCAUAAGCAGCUCCAAAAUUUGAAUGAUUUCAGUUGCAGAGAAAACAUGCAAACUGUAUUUCCUGGGUUAUAUAUUUAUAGUUGAACCCUGAAGCAAAAAGGACAGGAAUCAGUUGCUAUCAUUUGCAGACAAAACAUGUAACCUGUAUUUCCUGGGUUAUAUAUUAAUAGUUGAGCCCUAAAGCCACAAGGACAGGAAACAGUUGCGUCUGACGUCAUCGAAAACUGCGGCGCGUGCUCAUUUGGCUUUUUGUGCUCUUUUGUGCUCUGCUUUCCCGUCGUCUUCCCGUUGCGAGCGUAAGUCGGUGCUGUUUCCCGUUGAGUCCACAACGUGAAACUUUUUUUGACAAUUUCUUUCGUCGUAGUUCAUCCGUCCUCAGAGCAGAUCAAGUCGAUAAAGGACUCAGACGAGGAUCAAACAACAAAGAAAAAGUAGAGAACGGAGAAUACUUCUCUGUUUGCUAAUAAUCCUUGAAAGAUGGGAUUUGUUGCUGUUGCUGUUGAGAUUUCACUGAUAUUGCUGUUAACAGUUUUCUGUGGAGU
Long non-coding RNA from Orbicella faveolata, 679 nucleotides. NCBI's taxonomy places the organism in Eukaryota, Metazoa, Cnidaria, Anthozoa, Scleractinia, Merulinidae. The record is from RefSeq and is a predicted model, not a curated record.